RNA transcript from Populus euphratica (Euphrates poplar), 2114 nucleotides. RefSeq lists it as uncharacterized. NCBI's taxonomy places the organism in Eukaryota, Viridiplantae, Streptophyta, Magnoliopsida, Malpighiales, Salicaceae. The record is from RefSeq and is a predicted model, not a curated record. The transcript has 4 exons.
UCCUUCUAGUGUUGGACUAAAUUGAAUACAAGUAAAGUAGAAGGACUAAUGAUUAACAUCUAAGUAACCUCCCAACUGGGCAGGUACAAAGCGUGACAUUGAUCAUUAAACCCUCCCCCGCGGGCCUGUUCACUGGUAAAGUUUUAUCAACUCCUUACGCAUUUCUACUCGGCAAUUAAAGACUCCGGCUGUCAAAUGCCGUCGGAAGACUAAACCCGGUGACCUCCCAACGAUUCUCUCUCCGCUUGCAGGAUGGGAAAUGAUACCAAGGCUAGUUGUAAGGGUAAGGAUGAGGAAAUUAAUGAUAUAAAAGGGAGAAACAUUGGUAACAGAUCAUCAAGCAGUUUGGGUGCUGCUAAUGAUACUUGUGGUCUAAGAAAGUCAGCUAGAGAAACAUCAUUGAAGAAAAACUUGACUCCAAGCCCUUCAAGUAGUAGAAAGUCUGAACGUAUUGAGAAGCAGACCCCCCUACAAUUCCUCCUGUUACGAGGAAAUCUGAGAGAUUGGUUGAGAAACAAAGUUUACCGACUUCUUCUAGAAGCCUGAGAAGGGUAAGAAUCAGUUGUCAUCUAGUUCUUCUGGUUCAACGAAGUGUGGUAAAAGCUCGGGCUCUUUAAUUAUGGAGGAAAAGCACAAGAAAGAGAAGAGGGUGAAAGAACUUGAAACUGAAGAAGUUGGAAACAGUGACAAACCUGUUAUCAAAACUGUCCUGGUUGGAAUUAAGAGAAUGGAUGCUCGUGCUUACAGGGAGCUGUUCAAACAGAAACAAAAGAAAGCUAAACUGGAAGGUAGCGAAGAUCUGAUAGUAAAUAGGACACCUGGGGUUGAUACUGAGGUGAAGAGUGGUUGCAAAGUGAUGCCUUCUAAACAAAAAAGGAGUAUUGAUGACUUGAAUUUUGAUGCUACGGAAAUGGUUUCAAAUGAAGAUGGCGAUGCAGCUCCAUAUGAGUGCAGCAGAACUGAUUCUGUGGAUUCAUGUUCCAAAAGGCAAAGGUUGAAGAAGCGCAAUAAAGUGUCCAACAGUAACACUGAUGCGCCUUCUCUGAAAACUGCUUUAAUAGGAACUUCUGGAGCUCCAGUGCAGAAGAUGUCUCAAGUCAUGCCAAGUUCAAUUAGCCUUCUUAACACAACUGAUGCGAAUCACGUACCAACUUCUCACAUUUGACCAGUAAAUUUUCACAAGUACUGAAAGCUGACAUGGUUGGGUAUAAUGGAGGAAGGAACUUGCAUGAUGAUUCUGAGAAGAGUCUCCAUCUUUUUUUGAAGCCUGAGAUAGCAGAACUUUGUGAAAUUUUGCAACUCCCAGUAUGCAUCUCAUCCCUCUGAAGAAGUUAAUUUCUCUAGCACUAGUUCAUGAAUGCUGCAGUAGGUUCUUUGAUGUGGUGUAUUGGGUCUGCCUAUCUACUGCUAUUCUUAGUACUUUGAAUUGGUUUCAGAAUUGAUUUUAAGCAUAGAAAUAAAGAAGAAAAAAUCUGGAAAAUGUCAAAGUCAUGGUGGAACAAUUUCUGGAAUAUGUACUGAAUAAUCACCAUGUCAGUAGAGAACCACCUAGCGUAUUGCAGGCGUUUCUGAUAUCCCUGGUUAGAACCUUCUUUUUUCUAUAUUUUCCUGCUGUUUGAUCAUUAAUUUACUUUUGACACAACUCUUACACCCUUUGAUUAAAACAUAAUAAGUCAGUCAUUACUGUAAAAGGAUGCUUUACCAUGUUCAUGUCAUUUUGGAUCAUGGUUGUUGAAUUUGAGGAUAUUUUGAAAUGUUCAUUGCAUUUGCAAUAGCUUUAAUAUCGUACUGGUUGGUUUUGAAUCUGACAGAUCUCUAAAAGCAUGAUAUGUUAUCUACCCUUUCUAAAUUGUUAAUUCCUAUUUUUGCAAUGUGACUGGUUGUUUUAAGAAGUGUAAAAUGACUGAGUUUCGAAAACUAACAAGCAGAGUUGAAGCUUUUCUAUCCUUUGUUGGGGUCAGUUUACACCUUUGAUCUAAAGCAAUAGUAAAUAGGAAUUAAAAAGAGGAGGGAUCGCUAGGGAUACAAGAUUUGCAGCCAAAAAUAUGACCUGACAUAUUGAGGAAAUCUAAGGGAGGUAUUUUUAAAAAAUACCUAUAUCAAACAUUCUAGUA